Long non-coding RNA from Chinchilla lanigera (long-tailed chinchilla), 5112 nucleotides. RefSeq lists it as uncharacterized. The record is from RefSeq and is a predicted model, not a curated record. NCBI's taxonomy places the organism in Eukaryota, Metazoa, Chordata, Mammalia, Rodentia, Chinchillidae. The transcript has 2 exons.
CCCCACGCCGCGCGCGGUCCCCUACCGUCUCCCCACCGCUUGCCCGUUACCCGCCAGAACUCGCCUGGCGCGAUCCCUGUCCCCUUCCCGUCCCCUGCGCGGCCUGUCUCCACCCCUCGCUGCCCCCCUCCCCCCGACCCCAGCCCCUGCACGGCACCCCAAGGCCACCAGACGGGAACUCUAGGCCCUUCAGGACGGGUUUGCAGGGAGCUGGGCCCAGGGCUCGGGGGUCUGCUAGCGAGGACGCGUCUGGGUUCCCGGAGCUGCGCUCCGUGGGCACCGACCGGGCACUGCGCACGGACUGAGGGGACCCACGACGGGACAGGCGGUACCCGGACUCGCUCUCAAGUCGGGCUGUUGCUCCCCCAGCUCUCAGAUGCAGCCACUGAGACCCAGGGGUAGAGGGCAGGGCCCCAGUGCAUGGGGGCCUCGAAGCUCAGGCCCGUGCGCCCCGCCCUGCAGGAAGGAAGGGCAGGACUCUGCUGUGCCCAGCACCCGAGGCUGCUCGCAGGCACGGGCCGGAAACCGAGGCCCCCUCGCACACCCGGCCAGCCGGGGGGCGGGGUGGUGGUGGUGGUGGUGGUCCUGCGCCACGGUGCCACCUGUGCCCCUCCCCCGGCUCUGCGCCCCAGCUUCAUCUCCUCCACUCUCUUCCCUCCUCCUCCUUCCUUCCUUCCUUCCUCUCCCUCCGAUCCUGCAGCUCCCCCCACAGAGCCCUGAGGAAAAUGCGCUCACCACAGCCAUUGUCUGGCCCUGGACGAUUUCCUGCCGCUAAUCAAGACUGGGGCCUCCAUGGGGUGUCCGGCUGGUUUGGACUCCAGAGUGGCCUCCUCGCACAGACUGCAGGGAGGAGGUGUUGUGUGACCACAGGCAGAGGUGUCCCUCUCUGAGCCUCAGUGUCCUUGCCUGUAAGGUGGGGACCAUCCUGCCAGGCGUGGUGAUGUAUGCCUGUCAUCCCAGCCUUCAGGAGGCUGAAGCAGGAGGAUCACUUGAGUUCAAGGCCAGCCGGGAUCACACAGCAAGACCUUCUCUCAAAGGAAAAAUGCAAAAAAAAAAAAAGAGACCCAUCCUAAUGGCAUUCUCACCCCUGGAAGGCCCCCUGUGACCCCUGGGAGCCAUCCUAACAGAGCAUGCAGGCCAAAUGUCACAGGCACUUGGCAAGCCCUGGUCCACUGGAGGCCAAAGCCCAGGCCAGCAGCGCCACUGCAUCCACACCCACCCAGCAGGGCCAGGGUCUUCGAGCCCUUUCCUGGGUGGAGGACAGAGAGGCGCUAGCAGGGGAGGAAUAGAAUGCAGACCUGGGGCUCCUGGUGGGGCAGGGCGCAGAGGAGGAGGGAGCCCACCCCAGGUCUUGGCCGUGCUGGGUGCCAGGGCACGCUCCCAAAGGGGUCUGAGGGCUGAGGGGAGGGUGUGUCACAGGUGCCAACUCCAGGCAGGCGAGCGCCUGUGGCUGUGGAAAUGGGCUGUGGUGGUUACGUGUGUCACUGUCCCUCCUCUGUAGGAAGAGCUCACAGCCUGCUGUGGUGCCCGCUGCCUUCCACGCGCACAGUGACGGGGACUUCCUGAGAAUCUGGCGCCGGGCACGGGGCCUCAUGCAACACCAAGGUGACAUCAGUGUGGGAGACGUCCCCGUCCAGUCUUGGGGUGGCGGGUGGGCCUUCCCCACACCCGUUCCCAGCCCUUCCCCUCCGUGCGCAGGCCACCCCAGUGUCUGGGCCGGGGAGGGGGAGGAGGUGGAAAUGUUUUUCUUCUUCAACUGGAAAAACAACAGUGGGCGAGCUGGCCCGCGCCCUGUCCCCUUCCCGCCUUCCGCCCGCCGGCCCGCCGUUUCCCUGCAGGAAGCACUUCUGACAUGCGGUUCCUCCCUGCGCCUCAUGGGCAGGAAGGUGCUGAAGACAGUGCCAGGACCCGGCCAGCGGCUCCCUACUCACCUGGCCCUGCCCUUCGCCAUGGCUCUGAGCCCUGGCAGUGAGCGAGGUGGCACCUGUCCGCGACCCCCCGUGUCUGUGAUCUGGGGGGAUGCCUGAAGUCACGGCGCACACUCAUCACAGACGCUCCCCAUGGGCCCCAGCUCCGCGGAGAGCCGGGUUCCUCCUCCCAUGUCCUGGGCACCCCAGGUGCCAGAGCACCCUCCUGCCACCCCUGGGGUGCAGGAAAUGGUUCUCAUUCCUGGGUGCAAGCGGUGCCCUCUGACACUCGUGUCCUUGCCCUCUGUGGCUGGGGGACACACGCCCACGGCGGGCGCCUGGCCUCAGCCCCAGCCUUUGUGCUCUGUGCGGGGACAAUGGGCGGCAUUCUCAGACACCCCGUCAUGGGCCGCUGUGCUGGGCCACAGCUCCACACUGAGGCCUCUGUCCAGCGCCACCGAGAGGGCUCCCGGCUCCACCCACGGCCCAGCCCUGAGACAGGACACAGGACAGGAGGGAGGCCUGGGGUGUAUGGUCCUACUGUGUGCGCCACUUCCCGGCCAGGCUUUGUGAGAGAGCCAGGGCCACUGGCUGCUGGACGGGUAAACUGAGUCCUGGCCAGGUGGCACAGAGGCUGCAGACAGAAUAAAUGAAGGCAGCUGAGGCGCCUCGGCCCUUCUGGAGGCACCCAGGCCUGAGUGCCUGGCACACGUGAGUUUAUUUAAACCUGCAGUAGCCCUCCCAUGGUGACCUGAUCCCCCCAUUUAUGAGCGGGGUUGGGGGGAUGCUGGGGGGGCGUGAUUUGCCCAUACCCACCAGCUGGAGGUGGCAGAGCCCUGCUUUCCUUUGCCGCACCUGGGAGGGGACCCAGGGCCUGGCACUUGCUGGUAGGCGCUGACCCAGAAGGGUAUCUGAGCCCUGGCCAGGCACAUGUUCCCCCACAUGCUCCAUGAGCAUUGGAGAAGCCUUUUCUCCCCUGAUACCCCCAGGCAGCUGUGCAGACAGAGCUGCCGCCCUGUCAGGGCCCCCCUUGGUGACACCAGAAGGACCCACCUGGGCUCUGGGUCUGCAAAGGGAAAGGGAGGGCGAGGGCUGAGUGCUCACAUGGGGCUCCCAUGCAUGGCCAGCAGGGCCCAGGUCUGCCUCAGUCUCCCUGGCCUGCUCCAGACGUGUUUCCUUCUUGUGUGUCUCCUGGGGCCCUGAGUGCUAGCUCUGACCUUGUGUGUCUCCUGGGGCCCUGAGUGCUAGCUCUGACCUUGCGUGGCCCAGCCCUGGUCUGGGAGUGCUCCGUGCUGAGGCGCGCGGCAGCUCAGCCUGGCUUCCCCUGGUGGAGCCCGUCUGCUGAGGAACUUGGAAGUGGUUCCUCAGGGACUUUUGGGUGACAUCACUGCUCCUUACUCAAAAGCGGCCCUGCUGACCGCAGCCAGCUGUCCUGGGAUGAGCCGCCAUCCCCGGCCUGUACUUCCCCGUCCCUACUGAGAAGCUGCACCCAGAGGCCCAGGAGUCCCCCAGUCCUACCCCUGGCUGUGCCCUGGUGUCCCCCAGUCCCAACCCCUCAACCCUGGAUACCCUCACUGCCCUGUGCCCCACCAGGGACAGUGGGUCUUGCAGUGGCUCCUUUGCCAGGUGUGACUCAAGCUGGGCCAUGCAGGGGUUACCUGUGUCCCGUUACCGGCAGGGGCUCGAUUCACCCAGGCUCACCAGGAAAAUGCAUGAUGACGUGCUCUCUGCGCUCCAGGCCCCACCUAUCAUUCCCACUGGCUGGAGAGGGCAUAGGCCUCUGCACGCAGGCUCCCUGCAGGGCAGUAGGUUGCCUGGUGGCAUCUGCUGGUUGUGCCUGCAGUGCCCAGUGCAGGCGGUAGAGAUGGGCACCUCUGCCUGGCACAUGGCAGGGGCCAGGCCUAUUGGCUCAGCUGGGGAAACCCGUCCAUCUGGAUAGAAGCUGCCAGCAUGUGCGGAGUGGCCACCUGGACAAAAGGGACUGUGGCUUGGGCUGAGGUGAAAGUUCCCUGCACCCCGGGCCUAGCCCAAAUGGCUGUGUCCCCUGGGCAAGCAGCAGAGCCAGAGCUCCAGCCGGUAUGUCCUGGUUUCUCGAAUCCUCAGGUCCCCACCACCCAGGAGCCCGGACAUCCUGUCCCUUCCCCCAUCUGUCGUCCCUCCAGCCAGAUGCCACUUCCCGAGGGGCCUUUCCUGUCCACUUUCUGCAAGCUCAGCCCCUGGAGCCAGCUUGGGUAAAACGGGAGAUGCUCCCUCAUCAGCUCUGUGUGCCUUGCAGUCUGGGAGCGCCGUGCAGCCCCUGCCUGGGGGCAAUAUCUGCAGUGUGAUCUGUGAUCGAUGUCUGUGGAGGGCACAAGGCGCCCUGCCAGGCCCUCCACGCCCGCGCCCUGCCCCGCGAGGUGAUGGUGGGGGUGGCCAUGAGCGGCUCCCGAGCCUGCCCAGCCUCCCCCAGCACCAGCAGGAAGCGGUGCUCGCGAGGGGUGGUGGAGGUGACACCGCUGCAGGAAGGAGGCCAGGGUGGGGUGGGGACAGAGGCGGUGAGGGCAGCAUCGUCGUCCUCCCCACUUGGGACCUGCAGUGGUCACCGUCACCCCCAUGAGCAGAGGGGCGCUUGGGCCCACCACAGAGGCCAGGGCCAGCCCGGGUCACAGGGAUUCCACAACUGCUGGGGCCAUGAGCAGGUGCGCAAGUGUGGGUGGUGACUGGCAGCUGCAGGGUCCGGAUGUCACCCUCGGGCCCAAACCCCUGCCCCACUGGCCAGGUGGAGCUCCCGGGAGGGGCGGGGCUGUUCUCCCACAGCCUGGGGUGGCUGGGUGGGCGGGGUGUACCCAGCCGGUCUGCACUGUGGGUGCGGGGGGGGGGGCAGAUGGUGUGGGCGCUUCUGCUUCCCAUGGGCUGGGCUGCACCUCCCCCGCAGCCUCACUUCCCCCUGUCUUGGCAGGGCACCACCUCCAGGGAUGUGAGGCACAUUCAGGAGAGGCAGUGGAACCCCCAGACACAUGACCCCUGGAUGGGGGUGGGCUUUGUAUGAAUUUUCUAGGUUUCCAAGAAUUAUUUGUGUUAAAAAUAAAUGGGAGCUCCGUGUGAUGGUGCACCCCUGUGAUCCCAGGACUUGGAGGCUGAGGCAAGAGGAUCACUAUGAGUUCAAGGCCAGACUGGGCUAAAACAUGAGGCCGUAUCUCAGAAAAUAAACUUGGAGGAGAAGCUA